Molecule: small nucleolar RNA, 107 nt
Filed under: Phaseolus vulgaris (common bean)
Lineage: Eukaryota; Viridiplantae; Streptophyta; Magnoliopsida; Fabales; Fabaceae
Description: Plant small nucleolar RNA R71
Rfam family: Plant small nucleolar RNA R71
About the family: R71 is a member of the C/D box family of snoRNAs containing the C (UGAUGA) and D (CUGA) box motifs. Multiple nearly identical copies of this snoRNA have been identified in Arabidopsis, and it is thought to function as a 2'-O-ribose methylation guide for 18S ribosomal RNA.
Source: Rfam by way of RNAcentral
AACCCAUGAUUUGGGCAUUCUCUCACCUUCAUUUUGAACCUCUCUCAUGUCUCACAAAAAGCUUCAUCUGCUCCUUGUCUAAACAUAGAGAUUCCAUACUUUUCUUU